GACGAACGCUGGCGGCGUGCUUAACACAUGCAAGUCGAACGGAAAGGCCUGCUUUCCCUUGUGGAUUGCGGGUACUCGAGUGGCGAACGGGUGAGUAACACGUGAGUGAUCUGCCCCCAACUUGGGUAUAAGCCUGGGAAACUGGGUCUAAUUCCCGAUAGGACUGCAGGGUGGUGCCUGUGGUGGAAAACGAUUUUCUAGUGGUUGGGGAUGAGCUCGCGGCCUAUCAGCUUGUUGGUGGGGUAAUGGCCUACCAAGGCGGCGACGGGUAGCCGGCCUGAGAGGGUGGACGGCCACAUUGGGACUGAGGUACGGCCCAGACUCCUACGGGAGGCAGCAGUGGGGAAUAUUGCACAAUGGGCGGAAGCCUGAUGCAGCGACGCCGCGUGGGGGAUGACGGCCUUCGGGUUGUAAACUCCUUUCGACCGCGAGGAAGCCACCUGGUUGGAAGGGUGGUGACGGUAGUGGUAGAAGAAGCACCGGCUAACUACGUG
This 494-nucleotide ribosomal RNA is filed under the name uncultured bacterium. Its description in RNAcentral is "partial 16S ribosomal RNA". It matches the Rfam family "Bacterial small subunit ribosomal RNA", at positions 28 to 507 of the family's 1533-position model. The record is from RNAcentral.